This 234-nucleotide ribosomal RNA is filed under the name Triticum aestivum (bread wheat). RNAcentral's name for it is "partial small subunit ribosomal RNA". The record is from RNAcentral. Lineage: Eukaryota; Viridiplantae; Streptophyta; Magnoliopsida; Poales; Poaceae.
AUGCAUCCCCAUCUAACCCUACACAGGCAUCCUAUGUGUGCUGAGAUUAUUGAAGAAUUCCAGAAGUGCCAUGUGGAUCACCCCAUCAAAAAAUUCUUUGGUGAAUGCACGGAUCUUAAGAUUAAGCUUGAUCGAUGCUUCCGGCAGGAGGCAAACUUUGAAGAGAGCAAGAAAUUUAAAGAAAGGUUGCAGGCUUAUAAAAAGGAAAUGGCUGAGAAAGAAAAUGAAUCAUAG